UACACGACCGUACCGCAAACCGACACUGGUGCGCGAGAUGAGUAUUCUAAGGCGCUUGAGAGAACUCAGGAGAAGGAACUCGGCAAAUUGACACCGUAACUUCGGAAGAAGGUGUGCCUUUAGUAGGUGAACCAUUUACUUGGGGAGCCCAAUGAGGUUGCAAGAAAUCGGUGGCUGCGACUGUUUAUUAAAAACACAGCACUCUGCAAACACGAAAGUGGACGUAUAGGGUGUGACGCCUGCCCGGUGCUGGAAGAUUAAAUGAUGGGGUGCAAGCUCUUGAUUGAAGUCCCAGUAAACGGCGGCCGUAACUAUAACGGUCCUAAGGUAGCGAAAUUCCUUGUCGGGUAAGUUCCGACCUGCACGAAUGGCGUAACGAUGGCCACACUGUCUCCUCCUGAGACUCAGCGAAGUUGAAAUGUUUGUGAUGAUGCAAUCUCCCCGCGGAAAGACGGAAAGACCCCAUGAACCUUUACUGUAGCUUUGUAUUGGACUUUGAACAGAUCUGUGUAGGAUAGGUGGGAGGCUUUGAGGUAGGGUCGCUAGAUCUUAUGGAGCCAACGUUGAAAUACCACCCUGGUGUGUUUGAGGUUCUAACCUAGGUCCAUUAUCUGGAUCGGGGACAGUGCAUGGUAGGCAGUUUGACUGGGGCGGUCUCCUCCCAAAGCGUAACGGAGGAGUUCGAAGGUACGCUAGUUACGGUCGGACAUCGUGACGAUAGUGCAAUGGCAUAAGCGUGCUUAACUGCGAGACUGACAAGUCGAGCAGAUGCGAAAGCAGGACAUAGUGAUCCGGUGGUUCUGUAUGGAAGGGCCAUCGCUCAACGGAUAAAAGGUACUCUGGGGAUAACAGGCUGAUACCGCCCAAGAGUUCAUAUCGACGGCGGUGUUUGGCACCUCGAUGUCGGCUCAUCUCAUCCUGGGGCUGUAGCCGGUCCCAAGGGUAUGGCUGUUCGCCAUUUAAAGAGGUACGUGAGCUGGGUUUAAAACGUCGUGAGACAGUUUGGUCCCUAUCUUCCGUGGGCGCUGCAGAUUUGAGGAAGCCUGCUCCUAGUACGAGAGGACCGGAGUGGACACACCUCUGGUGUAUCGGUUGUCACGCCAGUGGCAUUGCCGAGUAGCUAAGUGUGGAAGAGAUAACCGCUGAAAGCAUCUAAGCGGGAAACUCGUUUCAAGAUGAGAUCUGCCGGGGCCUUGAGCCCCCUAAAGAGUCGUUCAAGACCAGGACGUUGAUAGGUCAGGUGUGGAAGCGCAGUAAUGCGUUAAGCUAACUGAUACUAAUUGCUCGUGCGGCUUGACC
Molecule: ribosomal RNA, 1299 nt
Filed under: metagenome
Description: bacterial LSU rRNA
Rfam family: Bacterial large subunit ribosomal RNA
Source: RNAcentral